This 549-nucleotide transfer RNA is filed under the name uncultured Prochlorococcus sp. RNAcentral describes it as "partial 16S-23S ribosomal RNA intergenic spacer". The stretch from base 210 to 282 matches the Rfam family "tRNA". Lineage: Bacteria; Bacillati; Cyanobacteriota; Cyanophyceae; Synechococcales; Prochlorococcaceae. The record is from RNAcentral.
CAGGGAGACAACAAAAUGUAAAUAUUAAUUUUGUCACCUUAGGUCGAUCGGUAUCUCAGAUUCUUAUUUUUUAAGAAUUUCAGUUUCUAAGUUUUUUCUAGGUCACACCCAUCACUUUUUCCUGGGCCAUUAGCUCAGGUGGUUAGAGCGCACCCCUGAUAAGGGUGAGGUCCCUGGUUCAAGUCCAGGAUGGCCCAUAUCUCUAUGUUGGGGGUAUAGCUCAGUUGGUAGAGCGCCUGCUUUGCAAGCAGGAUGUCAGCGGUUCGAGUCCGCUUACCUCCACUGAAUACCACCUCUUACAUAUAUUUAAAGAGGGAAAUUGUUUUGAGUCGUGUCCUAAUUUGCUCUGAGCGAAUCUAGCUUCCUAUUUUAUUCAAAAAUAAGAUGCUGGACUCAUUGAAUUUUUUUCAUUGUUUUCAGAGAACCUUGACAACUGCAUAGAUUAUUUUUGAAGACAAUAAGCAUCUUUUAAUGAUGCAGAUUUAUUAUUUGUGCGAAUGCAUUAAAUAACAAUUCUAUUAAGCUGAUGCUUCAAUUAUUGAAGUUAUU